This 253-nucleotide ribosomal RNA is filed under the name uncultured bacterium. Its description in RNAcentral is "partial 16S ribosomal RNA". It matches the Rfam family "Bacterial small subunit ribosomal RNA", at positions 524 to 776 of the family's 1533-position model. The record is from RNAcentral.
UACGAAGGGGGCUAGCGUUGCUCGGAAUCACUGGGCGUAAAGCGCACGUAGGCGGUCUUUUAAGUCGGGGGUGAAAGCCUGUGGCUCAACCACAGAAUUGCCUUCGAUACUGUAGAGCUUGAGACCGGAAGAGGUUAGUGGAACUGCGAGUGUAGAGGUGAAAUUCGUAGAUAUUCGGAAGAACACCAGUGGCGAAGGCGACUUACUGGACACGUAUUGACGCUGAGGUGCGAAAGCGUGGGGAGCAAACAGG